Molecule: ribosomal RNA, 264 nt
Filed under: uncultured bacterium
Lineage: Bacteria
Description: partial 16S ribosomal RNA
Rfam family: Bacterial small subunit ribosomal RNA
Source: RNAcentral
UACGUAGGGGGCAAGCGUUGUCCGGAUUUAUUGGGCGUAAAGAGCGUGUAGGCGGCCUGACAGGUCUGCUGUGAAAACUCGAGGCUCAACCUCGAGAUGUCGGCGGAAACCGUCUGGCUAGAGUCCGGAAGAGGAGAGUGGAAUUCCUGGUGUAGCGGUGAAAUGCGCAGAUAUCAGGAAGAACAGCCUAUGGCGAAGGCAGCUCUCUGGGACGGUACUGACGCUGAGACGCGAAAGCGUGGGGAGCGAACAGGAUUAGAUACC